UUUGCUAGGGGAGCCUAUCGGCUGAGACUGCUGCCUGCGACAGAGGCAGCUAACCCUCACUACUUGAACCGGAUAAUGCCGGCGUAAGGAAGCAU
Molecule: non-coding RNA, 95 nt
Filed under: human gut metagenome
Description: TPP riboswitch (THI element)
Rfam family: TPP riboswitch aptamer (THI element)
About the family: Vitamin B(1) in its active form thiamin pyrophosphate (TPP) is an essential coenzyme that is synthesised by coupling of pyrimidine and thiazole moieties in bacteria.
Source: RNAcentral